UCGAGAAUUUUUCUCAAUGGGGGAAACCCUGAAGGAGCGACGCCGCGUGGAGGAUGAAGGUCUUCGGAUUGUAAACUCCUGUCAUUUGAGAACAAGUGAUUGCCGGUAACUACGGCGGUCUUGAUAGUAUCAGAAGAGGAAGAGGCGGCUAACUCUGUGCCAGCAGCCGCGGGAAUACAGAGGCCUCAAGCGUUGUUCGGAUUCAUUGGGCGUAAAGGGUGCGUAGGCGGUUCCGUUAGUCGGGUGUGAAAUCGUGGGGCUCAACCCCAAAACUGCAUUCGAUACUGCGGGGCUAGAGGACUGGAGAGGAGAGUGGAAUUCACGGUGUAGCAGUGAAAUGCGUAGAUAUCGUGAGGAAGACCAGCGGCGAAGGCGGCUCUCUGGACAGUUCCUGACGCUGAUGCGCGAAGGCCAGGGGAGCAAAC
This 425-nucleotide ribosomal RNA is filed under the name uncultured bacterium. RNAcentral's name for it is "bacterial SSU rRNA". It matches the Rfam family "Bacterial small subunit ribosomal RNA", at positions 355 to 773 of the family's 1533-position model. The record is from RNAcentral.